Molecule: ribosomal RNA, 657 nt
Filed under: alpha proteobacterium N268
Lineage: Bacteria; Pseudomonadati; Pseudomonadota; Alphaproteobacteria
Description: bacterial SSU rRNA
Rfam family: Bacterial small subunit ribosomal RNA
Source: RNAcentral
UAACACAUGCAAGUCGAACGGAUCCUUCGGGAUUAGUGGCAGACGGGUGAGUAACGCGUGGGAAGCUACCUUGUGGUAGGGGACAACAGUUGGAAACGACUGCUAAUACCCUAUGAGCCCUAUGGGGGAAAGAUUUAUCGCCAUGAGAUGUGCCCGCGUUAGAUUAGCUAGUUGGUAAGGUAAUGGCUUACCAAGGCGACGAUCUAUAGCUGGUCUGAGAGGAUGAUCAGCCACACUGGGACUGAGACACGGCCCAGACUCCUACGGGAGGCAGCAGUGGGGAAUAUUGGACAAUGGGGGCAACCCUGAUCCAGCCAUGCCGCGUGUGUGAUGACGGCCUUAGGGUUGUAAAGCACUUUCAGCACGUGAAGAUAAUGACAUUAACUGCAGAAGAAGCCCCGGCUAACUUCGUGCCAGCAGCCGCGGUAAUACGAAGGGGGCUAGCGUUGUUCGGAAUCACUGGGCGUAAAGAGUACGUAGGCGGACUGAUAAGCUAGGGGUGAAAUCCCAAGGCUCAACCUUGGAACUGCCUUUGACUACUGUCAGUCUUGAGAUCGAGAGAGGUGAGUGGAACUCCGAGUGUAGAGGUGAAAUUCGUAGAUAUUCGGAAGAACACCAGUGGCGAAGGCGGCUCACUGGCUCGCUACUGACGCUGAG